Molecule: non-coding RNA, 101 nt
Organism: Armillaria novae-zelandiae
Lineage: Eukaryota; Fungi; Basidiomycota; Agaricomycetes; Agaricales; Physalacriaceae
Source: the annotation of a GenBank genome assembly
GGCUCAAUGGUCUAGUCGUAUGAUUCGCGCUUCGGGAGGAUAUCCGAUGCAUAUAUGCAUUCAAAUGUGCGAGGUCCCGAGUUCAAUUCUCGGUUGAGCCC